GACGAACGCUGGCGGCGUGCCUAAUACAUGCAAGUCGAGCGGUUGAAGCCUUCGGGCUGAGAUAGCGGCGGACGGGUGAGUAACACGUAGGUAACCUGCCUGACAGACUGGGAUAACUACCGGAAACGGUAGCUAAGACCGGAUACGCCAACAAGGGGGCAUCCCCUGGUUGGGAAAAGCGGAGCAAUCUGCUACUGAUAGAUGGACCUGCGGCGCAUUAGCUAGUUGGUGAGGUAGAGGCUCACCAAGGCGACGAUGCGUAGCCGACCUGAGAGGGUGAACGGCCACACUGGGACUGAGACACGGCCCAGACUCCUACGGGAGGCAGCAGUAGGGAAUCUUCGGCAAUGGACGAAAGUCUGACCGAGCAACGCCGCGUGAGUGAUGAAGGUUUUCGGAUCGUAAAACUCUGUUGCCAGGGAAGAAUGAUCAGGAGAGUAACUGCUCUUGAUGUGACGGUACCUGAGAAGAAAGCCCCGGCUAACUACGUGCCAGCAGCCGCCGUAAGAC
Molecule: ribosomal RNA, 510 nt
Filed under: uncultured bacterium
Lineage: Bacteria
Description: bacterial SSU rRNA
Rfam family: Bacterial small subunit ribosomal RNA
Source: RNAcentral